Canis lupus familiaris (dog) is the source of this 1585-nucleotide long non-coding RNA. RefSeq lists it as uncharacterized. The transcript has 4 exons. The record is from RefSeq and is a predicted model, not a curated record. NCBI's taxonomy places the organism in Eukaryota, Metazoa, Chordata, Mammalia, Carnivora, Canidae.
UGUUGAUCAUGCUUGGUGGUUACCUGGUUAUCAAAUGAUUUAGCAUGGCCUUAUCUGGGACAACUGGGAAACCUCAGCUCUGCUCCCUGUGUCUCUCAUCCUUCAUCAGGCUAGCCCAGCAGUGUCCUUUCACGGCAGUAUCAGAGGACAAAGUGAUUUUCCUACAGAAUAAAUUGAAUUGUGUCAUGGAUAACUAUUAGGAGAAAUAUGGAUGACCAGAAGGAUUAUCACUAGUUGUUACCAAAGUUGUCAGGCCUACAUUGAAUGAGGCCCAUCCAAAUUGAUCAGAGCUGUCUGCUUUCCUCAGUCUACAGAUUCAAAUGGUAAUCUCAUUCAGAAGCACCCUCACAGACACACUCAGAGAUACAUGCAGUGACAUUGAGACUUACCAUGGAAUGAAAAGUGGAGAACUGAGGCAAAUUUGACUUCUAAUGUGCAAAAACAAACAAACAAACAAACAAAAAACCCAAACAAACAGAAACAAAAAGGAUUUUGUAUGCAAGUUAGCUUUUUUUGAAAACAAAAGGAAUUUCCAAAUUCAUUGAUGAUUUAGGGAACAUCUCAAAAACUAAGGACUUAAAUCAUUGAUUUUUCCCAUAAAAUAGUGAAGAUGCUCUUUUUUUCUGGAGUAGCCAAAUUGUAAGACUUGCUUCUCUAGAGAAGGAAUAUCUGAUACAGAGAAAGGAAAAAGAAAGUCUUUCAAUGCUGACUCUGGGGGUCUGGAAGAAGAAAGAGAACAAGAGGACAAGGAAGGCAAAGGUGUUUUAGUAAAUAAAAUAUCACCAGAUAGGGUGGGAUGGCCAGCAGUCAUCAUUGGGAUUUCUGGAAAGAGCACUCCCACAGACCACCUUGGACUAAACUGCUGCAUAGCCCACUGGGCUACCCUGGGCUCUUGAAUGUCAUAGACUAAAUAAGAUGGGUCAAGGUGCUUACAGGUAAGUUUCCAAAGGGAAUAUCAUAGCAGGGGCAAAGCAGCUUUUGUAAAUUUUGCUCACCAGGUAGCCAUAUCUAUAUGAAUCAUAGAUUUCAGAGGGAUUGAAAGUACUAGGAAGAUCUGAUAUGAGGCUUAAUCAGCCAGAUUGCACCACCAAACUCUACCAGCUCACUGUCAGAUGCUGAGCUCUAUCAAUAUUAUCAGCUCAUAUCAAUAUGCCAGCAGGAUAAGAAUCAUGAUCUUAGGGCUCGGAAGAGCCAUGCUGAAUUAAUCUUCUAACAUGAAGUUUCUUAAGCCACAUCUCUCCUCCCAUAUACCUAAAAGCUACCAUAAAAAGGGCCUGAGAAGAGGAUAGAAGUGUGAGUUUACUCCUAAAGAAAUCUUUAACAAUUACAAUUAUUUCCCACAUUACAAUAGGUUCAGGUUAAGAGAUGAUUAGAUUAUUGGUAGACCAAAAUAAAGAAGUACAUUUUCUCUAUGAAUCUGAGUUGUGUAUGUUCAGUUUAUAAUCCUUUUUACACUAAAAUGUGAAGAAGAUAUUAUUCCCAUUUUUGGAUAAGGAAAAAAAAAUCGGAAUGGCUCAAUAACCUAACCAAGAUAAUACAACAAGAAGAGGAUGAAGCAGGAUUUGAGCUGGAUGUUCUGACCCCA